AUGAACGAGGGUGAACAGGGCGGCCAGGGAUCCGAAGGGGGGACCCCUUCAGUCCUUCGCCAUUCACUUUCCCCUCUAGUCUCACACCCCCCUUUAUAUUCCGCUUCACGUGGGGUGCGGGGCAGGAGGGAGGGGAAGACAAGGCAAGGGGGAGACAAGUGGAGGGGGUGGGAAAACCGAGAAAUGCCCACCUUCUCCCGACAACUCAAAAGCCACCUCAACCCCUCCUCCCGCCGCGGCGGCGGCGGCGGCGGCGGCCGCUGCAAAACCCUCCCGGUCGCUCUGCACGAAAGCAGCGCGGAGCGAGUGUCGCCUUCCCCUCGCCACCCCCAGCGCCGCCGCCGCCGGCGAGCCCCGAGCUCAGUGUCGCUCAAACCUCCCCUCCCGGCCCCGCUGUCCCCGCCCGGCCCUCCCCCCACGCCCCUCGGACCCUUUCAAACCCCCUGGGCUCGCGGCGGCUGUUCCGUGAGCAAACGCUGGCCGCGGCUGGGGCCGGGGCGGCGAGGCUCGGAGCGGGGCGGCGGCGGGGCGCCCGGUACGGUGAGCCCAGCAACGAGGCGCGGGCGGGCGCGCAGAGACGCCGGGUCCUCGCGGAGCACGGCCGGGGCGCGGCGGCGGCACUGGCAGCGGGAGCCCAGGGACCGCUCCAUCACUGGCAGCCAUGGAGCCCGAGCAUUUUCCUCCCUCAGGGCAGGCGCCUCGGCUCGGCACACGUCCUCGGGGAGGAAGGGGCCGGCGCCCGAGCCUCCCCGGAGGGCGGCGGGAUGUGCGCUAGCGCAGAGGGGUGCGAGCUGCUCCUGUCCUCUUCCUCCUCAGCCGGCUCGUCCUCACCCUGCUGCUCCCGCGGCCCGGGCGGGAGGGGGCCGCAGGCAGCGGCGGCUCCUUUCUCGGCGGCGUUGGUGGCCAGACGGGCUGGUGCAAGCGACUGCAGCCGACGCCGUUCAAAGGAACGAGAGACCUGGGUCAGAGCCCAAAGUCAGAACUGAGGCCAAAGGGACAAUUUUGCUGAGGACUCUUGCUGCUGCUAAGGGCUGUCCAUCCAUGGAAGACUUCCCCUGCCAGCCCCGUCCUGAGGCAGCUGUUUCUGGUGGGCAGCUGCAGCAUGGUGCCUUUCGUGCACAUGGCUUGAGGAGGGAGCCAUGGAUCUGUGCUACUGGAAUGCUGUGGGAUUGUCUUCUGACCAUCAAGCUAAGACCCAAUAAGGCCAGCAUCCCAAGCAGGAUUAGGGCUGAAUUCUAAUUCAGCCUUCUCUCUGGAAUUGCUCGCCCACCAACACAGAACUGGUAUAACUGGGCCGCGCUGAAAGUCUGGCCUGCUCACCAGAUAUUGGCAGCAAGCCAUUCUCUAUGGAGAUGUUUGUUUGAUGUUCAAAACAUGCAAACUUAGCAUCUUUGGUAAAGGAGAACAAUAACCUUUUCUUAUUCAACAUAAACGAUGAUCCUUUUUUACAACAACAGCAAAAAAGUCAAUAAAAAACUCAGUUUGAAACCAGAUUUUUUCCCCAAUAUGAAUAAGAGUUCAGUUAUUUUCUCCCCUAAGCUUUGGAAGUGCUCCUCUCUUUUUGGACGGUUUUGUAUCUCCUUUCCAGUACAGAUGUCUAUUGCCUUGAAGGCUUUCACAAGAGAAUUUAAUCCUUGGCAGUGAAAAGAAAGAAUCCCACGGGGCAAGUUGGGGGGCGGGGGGGAGGAAGAAGAGACUGGCCAAGUUGAAGGAGGUUGAUUUGAAUGGAAAAAUCCUUUAGUCAUGCCAAAGAUGUGAAAUUAUCAAAGACACAAAGAUCUUAUAUAGAAAAAAACUAUAUAGAAAAAAACACAAACUCUUUCCGUACCCCAACUGUGAUGUCAA
RNAcentral lists this long non-coding RNA (1845 nucleotides) under Lynx canadensis (Canada lynx). Its description in RNAcentral is "lncRNA (ENSLCNG00005000195.1)". Lineage: Eukaryota; Metazoa; Chordata; Mammalia; Carnivora; Felidae. The record is from RNAcentral.